GGUGGGGUGGCAGAGCGGCUAUGCGCUCGCCUGCAGAGCGAGUUUAUAUGGGUUCAAAUCCCAUCCCCACCUCCA
This 75-nucleotide transfer RNA is filed under the name Nitrososphaerales archaeon. Its description in RNAcentral is "tRNA-Cys". It matches the Rfam family "tRNA". From Rfam's summary of the family: Transfer RNA (tRNA) molecules are approximately 80 nucleotides in length. Their secondary structure includes four short double-helical elements and three loops (D, anti-codon, and T loops). Further hydrogen bonds mediate the characteristic L-shaped molecular structure. tRNAs have two regions of fundamental functional importance: the anti-codon, which is responsible for specific mRNA codon recognition, and the 3' end, to which the tRNAs corresponding amino acid is attached (by aminoacyl-tRNA synthetases). tRNAs cope with the degeneracy of the genetic code in two manners: having more than one tRNA (with a specific anti-codon) for a particular amino acid; and 'wobble' base-pairing, i.e. permitting non-standard base-pairing at the 3rd anti-codon position. The record is from RNAcentral. Lineage: Archaea; Thermoproteati; Nitrososphaerota; Nitrososphaeria; Nitrososphaerales.